AUGGCCACCUCCAGAUUGCAUUUUGGAUAUGAUCACGGACGAGAUUCCGAACUUCGUUUAAGUUAUCGAAAAAGAAUUUCGCCCCGCUUUAUAUAUAAAUCAACGACCAGAAGUACAAAUCUAGGUACAACACGCAACCUCCCACACACCACACACACCCAAGACAAGACACAAGGGUGCCGAUGCACCGCAACACUACCCAAACGACCACCAAGCACAAGACCUAGCCACCGAGAAGAAGUGAAGCGGGACAAUGGCGAAGCAUGGACUCCAAGGCGGUGCCUUCAAGAAGAGCACGACACCGAAAGCCGCCACCGCCCGAUCUCAGAGAUCAAGUUUUCACCCGGAGCAACAUGGAGAGAAGAGAACACCACGACGGAGCCUUCAUGA
RNAcentral lists this ribosomal RNA (390 nucleotides) under Triticum aestivum (bread wheat). RNAcentral describes it as "partial small subunit ribosomal RNA". Lineage: Eukaryota; Viridiplantae; Streptophyta; Magnoliopsida; Poales; Poaceae. The record is from RNAcentral.